GGGGAUUUAGCUCAGUGGUAGAGCGCUUGCCUAGCGAGCUAGAGCGCUUGCCUAGCGAGCGCAAGGCCCUGGGUUCGGUCCCCAGCUCCG
Molecule: transfer RNA, 90 nt
Filed under: Rattus norvegicus (Norway rat)
Lineage: Eukaryota; Metazoa; Chordata; Mammalia; Rodentia; Muridae
Rfam family: tRNA
About the family: Transfer RNA (tRNA) molecules are approximately 80 nucleotides in length.
Source: Rfam by way of RNAcentral